UAAGGGUUCCUGGGUCAAGCUGAUCUGCCCAGGGUAAGUCGGGACCUAAGGCGAGGCCGACAGGCGUAGUCGAUGGACAACCGGUUGAUAUUCCGGUACCCGCUUUGAAACGCCCAAUAUCGAAUCAGGCGAUGCUAAGUCCCGUGAAGCCGUUCCGGACCCUUCGGGGAAAGGAGAAUUGUGGAGCCGACGACCCAGACUUGUAGUAGGUAAGCGAUGGGGUGACGCAGGAAGGUAGUCCAGCCCGGGCGGUGGUAGUCCCGGGGUAAGGGUGUAGGCCGUGUGAUAGGCAAAUCCGUCACACGUUAAGGCUGAGACCUGAUGCCGAGCCGAUUGUGGUGAAGUGGAUGAUCCUAUGCUGUCGAGAAAAGCCUCUAGCGAGUUUCAUGGCGGCCCGUACCCUAAACCGACUCAGGUGGUCAGGUAGAGAAUACCGAGGCGUUCGGGUGAACUAUGGUUAAGGAAUCGGCAAAAUGCCCCCGUAACUUCGGGAGAAGGGGGGCCAUGUCUGGUGAUCGGAUUUACUCCGUGAGCUGGGUGUGGCCGCAGAGACCAGCGAGAAGCGACUGUUUACUAAAAACACAGGUCCGUGCGAAGCCGUAAGGCGAUGUAUACGGACUGACGCCUGCCCGGUGCUGGAACGUUAAGGGGACCGGUUAGC
This 661-nucleotide ribosomal RNA is filed under the name Streptomyces cinnamoneus. RNAcentral's name for it is "bacterial LSU rRNA". It matches the Rfam family "Bacterial large subunit ribosomal RNA", at positions 1346 to 1894 of the family's 2925-position model. Lineage: Bacteria; Bacillati; Actinomycetota; Actinomycetes; Kitasatosporales; Streptomycetaceae. The record is from RNAcentral.